AACGACCGCUGGCGGCAUGCCUAACACAUGCAAGUCGAACGAGAUCUUCGGGUCUAGUGGCGCACGGGUGCGUAACGCGUGGGAAUCUGCCCUUUGGUUCGGAAUAACAGUUGGAAACGACUGCUAAUACCGGAUGAUGACGAAAGUCCAAAGAUUUAUCGCCAGAGGAUGAGCCCGCGUAGGAUUAGCUAGUUGGUGUGGUAAAGGCGCACCAAGGCGACGAUCCUUAGCUGGUCUGAGAGGAUGAUCAGCCACACUGGGACUGAGACACGGCCCAGACUCCUACGGGAGGCAGCAGUGGGGAAUAUUGGACAAUGGGCGAAAGCCUGAUCCAGCAAUGCCGCGUGAGUGAUGAAGGCCUUAGGGUUGUAAAGCUCUUUUACCCGGGAUGAUAAUGACAGUACCGGGAGAAUAAGCUCCGGCUAACUCCGUGCCAGCAGCCGCGGUAAUACGGAGGGAGCUAGCGUUGUUCGGAAUUACUGGGCGUAAAGCGCACGUAGGCGACUUUGUAAGUUAGAGGUGAAAGCCUGGAGCUCAACUCCAGAACUGCCUUUAAGACUGCAUCGCUUGAAUCCAGGGGAGGUGAGUGGAAUUCCGAGUGUAGAGGUGAAAUUCGUAGAUAUUCGGAAGAACACCAGUGGCGAAGGCGGCUCACUGGACUGGUAUUGACGCUGAGGUGCGAAAGCGUGGGGAGC
Molecule: ribosomal RNA, 695 nt
Filed under: uncultured bacterium
Lineage: Bacteria
Description: bacterial SSU rRNA
Rfam family: Bacterial small subunit ribosomal RNA
Source: RNAcentral